GCCCUUUCGAACUCUUGCUUUUACUUGCCUUGUUUUUAAACAAACAUAUGCAAGCAAAAUCACUUUCACUUAAGUGGUGCCUGUUUCUUAUACCAGGGGCGUUUUCAUUGAAAGCUGAUCUAUUCAGACGAUACAAAUGCUCACACCAAAGUGUUGGGGGCCGGAAUUGGUUAUAGAGAGUCUAGGAUAUCAAGUGAUAUGACUCCCACCUGGCCAAAGAGCUUUCAUCUUUUUUAAGACUGCCACACUUUGUCAAUAUAUAUGAAUUGGUACGGUUCUAUACAAAAAGGCCAUAGCAUUGAAAUCUAUUGCAUCUCCUAAACAGAUUAAAAGCUAACAGAUUGAUUGCGCUUCUGUUUUCCCAUGGUGUUGGUUUCUCUUUUGUCUGCAUGGCUGGGCUAGAAUCUCUUGAUGAGGAGGAAAUAUUUGUGACACUGAAUGAUGCCACAAAAGUGUUAUACGUUUCUAGGCGGUAAUGCGUCUCAAAGCAAAAAGGAAUGUUAAAGUGAUCUUCCCUGACAGACACAUCUCGGUUUAUACAUAUAGCCACCAUCCUAUUUCGCUGGGGAAAUUGAUCAACACUUCCUCCCGCCCUUCCUCUGCUCAAACC
RNAcentral lists this small RNA (610 nucleotides) under Histoplasma capsulatum. Its description in RNAcentral is "hypothetical RNA". Lineage: Eukaryota; Fungi; Ascomycota; Eurotiomycetes; Onygenales; Ajellomycetaceae. RNAcentral also lists the same sequence under 1 other name. The record is from RNAcentral.